CCAUGCUAUCAUUCCUUAAUUCAAUUAAUGCGUGAAAUUUAUUGGUUUAAGCUGGAGCCUAUGCACAGGUGUGCGAGGAGGGAUAAUCUUAGGUCUCUUUUCCCAACGUUCAUGUAAUUAUUCGCAAAGAGGAAAUGAGAGUGCUCACGGCCCAAGUUUCGGCGUCCCCAAUUCCAUGGUGCUGUCAAAGCUAAAUUCUACAGUGAUCUGACACGUUCAGUUCCACCACCGAGGAGAGAUUAGUAAAGCGUGGCAACGCCCGUAUUAAAAUGCGGUAGGAAAAAGGAGUCCAAGAGGAUUUAAGCCCGCAAGCACGACAGGUGUCUCAGCAUUUGGUCGUUUGUUAAAAUAGUCGGAACGAGUAAACUUAUUACUUUUACAUCUGCAUUUUGCACCAAAAACUUUUGAACUAGAACGACGGCAAUUUCGCUUAGUUUUCCUUACCUUUCGGUCCAGUAUAUCUUAGAGGGCAUAAGAAAUUACAGACACCGAGGGUUGGUGCAGUGAUGUAAGAUUUGCGAAAUUUCAAUCGCAGCGCGUGAGGAAAAGUGAAACUCAGGUUCCAGAAUGCAAGAUUUGCGAAAUUUCUUCCGCUCGUUUCCUCGCCGUUCAACCAUGGCCCUCAAGGACGGUUGCGUAGUCGAGGGGUAGGGUAUUCAAAAGCGGAUGGGGAAAAUAGUUCUGUUUGAGCCCACAAAUGCUGCUCUCAUUGAAAUAGCAGGUACAUGAAACAAAAUAAAUGAAAGAGAACAUAAAGAAGAACAAACCGAAGGAUGAUCACUAAAUUAAAGGGCUCAGUUCCAUAAAUUUACAUACUGAACAAUUUCCAAAAGAAAUGCAGAAAGAAGGUAUAGAGAACGUAUAACAUAAAGAAGUAUAUCCAAAGGAUCCAGCAUUGGGAAAGACGAAUAAUGAAUGAACACUUGUAUGUCGAUAAUAUAAGUUUCAUUCUUUCAUUACUUUACACGUACAAUUUUAAAACCGUAGAAUGCUACUAUUUCUUAGCUUUAAAGAGAAGCUUGCCACGUGCUAAGUUUGAACCGCGUAUUACUACACGCGUAGUCUUUCUGCAUACAUGUAUCAGGUCAACGGCAAUAUCCAAACUGUAAACUUGCCUUUGAAAUGCUCGUGACUCGUAGAUUUUUCAAUGAUCAGCAAGUGCUUUUGCUUCUGCUCCUUCAUUUUCGCGUAAAGGGGUGCAAAUGACUCACAAUCAGCGAAUACAUGUGUAUAUACUAUGUGCAGGCAGUUGAUACGUUUUUUUAAUAACAAUAAACAUUUCAAUGAAUUUAACAAGAUAA
Long non-coding RNA from Ceratina calcarata, 1301 nucleotides. RefSeq lists it as uncharacterized. The record is from RefSeq and is a predicted model, not a curated record. The transcript is spliced from 4 exons. NCBI's taxonomy places the organism in Eukaryota, Metazoa, Arthropoda, Insecta, Hymenoptera, Apidae.